RNAcentral lists this ribosomal RNA (253 nucleotides) under uncultured bacterium. Its description in RNAcentral is "partial 16S ribosomal RNA". It matches the Rfam family "Bacterial small subunit ribosomal RNA", at positions 524 to 776 of the family's 1533-position model. The record is from RNAcentral.
UACGGGGGGCGCAAGCGUUGUUCGGAUUUACUGGGCGUAAAGGGCGCGUAGGCGGCACCGCAAGUCGACUGUGAAAUCUCCGGGCUUAACUCGGAAAGGUCAGCCGAUACUGCGGGGCUAGAGUGCAGAAGGGGCAACUGGAAUUCUCGGUGUAGCGGUGAAAUGCGUAGAUAUCGAGAGGAACACCUGCGGCGAAGGCGGGUUGCUGGGCUGACACUGACGCUGAUGCGCGAAAGCGUGGGGAGCAAACAGG